Molecule: ribosomal RNA, 353 nt
Filed under: Kurtiella pedroana
Lineage: Eukaryota; Metazoa; Mollusca; Bivalvia; Galeommatida; Montacutidae
Description: partial 16S ribosomal RNA
Rfam family: Archaeal large subunit ribosomal RNA
Source: RNAcentral
CCCAGUGAGUUGUCCGCUUUAACGGCCGCAAUUUAAAGUUGUGCUAAGGUAGCGUAAUAAUUUGCCCUUUAAUUGGGGGCAUGAAUGAAUGGUUUAACGUGAAAGAAACUGUCUUUGAGGUGAAGAAAGAAGUUUUUCUUUUAGUGAAAAAACUAACUAGAAAAAAAAAGACGAGAAGACCCUAUUGAGCUUGGAUAGCGUUUUUAAUCUAAGUGCGCGAAUAUUUAGUUGGGGCAACUUAGAGGGAAAACAAAACCUCUUGAGUUUAUGAGGAUCCAAAAGUUUUGACAAAAGAAAAAGUUACCGUAGGGAUAACAGCGUUAUCCUUUCUUAGAGUGCAAAUUGAAGAGAAG